CAGUAGCCGCGGUAAUACGAAGGGGGCUAGCGUUGCUCGGAAUGACUGGGCGUAAAGGGCGCGUAGGCGGUCACGAUAGUCAGAUGUGAAAUUCCUGGGCUUAACCUGGGGACUGCAUUUGAUACUGUGUGGCUUGAGUGUGGAAGAGGGUCGUGGAAUUCCCAGUGUAGAGGUGAAAUUCGUAGAGAUCAGGAGGAACACCGAUGGCGAAGGCAGCCCCCUGGGCCUGUACUGACGCUCAUGCACGAAAGCGUGGGGAGCAAACAGGAUUAGAUACCCGGGUAGUCCCUGUCUCUUAUAC
RNAcentral lists this ribosomal RNA (301 nucleotides) under uncultured bacterium. RNAcentral's name for it is "partial 16S ribosomal RNA". It matches the Rfam family "Bacterial small subunit ribosomal RNA", at positions 509 to 807 of the family's 1533-position model. The record is from RNAcentral.